UAAUGUUCACUUAGGAAAGUCUGGUGCCUUUCCACAUGGUGGAAGGAGGGUAUAAGGUGGAAGGCAUACAGUGUACUAUUAAUUCAACAAUGUAUUGGAUCGGUAUCGGGUAUCAACAGAGACAAAAAGGCCAGGCAUCGGUACCAGGACUGAAAAAGUUGGAUCGGUGCAUCCCUAGAGAGGUGAUUAGCAAUGAAGGGUA
This is a long non-coding RNA of Etheostoma cragini (Arkansas darter), 202 nucleotides long. RefSeq lists it as uncharacterized. Lineage: Eukaryota; Metazoa; Chordata; Actinopteri; Perciformes; Percidae. The record is from RefSeq and is a predicted model, not a curated record. The transcript has 3 exons.